Long non-coding RNA from Oxyura jamaicensis (ruddy duck), 6436 nucleotides. RefSeq lists it as uncharacterized. The transcript has 4 exons. Lineage: Eukaryota; Metazoa; Chordata; Aves; Anseriformes; Anatidae. The record is from RefSeq and is a predicted model, not a curated record.
UACUGUAGGGAAAAACAGCUGUCAUGGCUUAUCUAUCAGGCAAUGAAUGUGUUUGGGGUGGAAAGUUGAGGUCUGUUGCUUGUACUGAUGGCACAGUUACAGCCUGGAAUGUGCCAGAGGUGAGAAAAUCCAUGAACUUCAUUUUUGAGGGAAAAUAAAAAUAUGUGGACUUCAGGCCCAAAACUGCCCUACUGUAAGUAUGCCCUCUAGUUCUUGUGUUAGUUUUUUGUUCUUGUUCAUUGGUUUUACAGACUCCUACUCCACUUUGUAAACAACUGUUGUGCUCUAUCUGCUGAAGGCUAGCCUGCUCAGUAUUUCACAUGCUGAACCCUUUCCAACUCAGACAUAGUAAACUCUGCUUGAAACACGGAAUUGUUGUAUGGAAGUAUGCAAAGGUACCAGUCAGUCAGGUUUUCUAUGUUUUCAUAUAAUUAAAAACUAUCUUGUGCAGAAAUCUCCAGCUAUUUGGGUUGCUGAUCACUUUUUUUAAAAGCCUAGUUUAAACCACUGCAGGAAAAAAAAAAAAAAGGCACAUCAAGGAUCUACAAAUAUUUUAUUGCUCCCUGAUCUGUCUGAAAAUAACAAAAGGAACAAAGAAAUGUGGCAAUUCUAAGACAAUUCACUUCUGCUAUUGAAGGCUAUUUGCAACUGAGAGGUCUAGUAGUCAUCUAUCCAAUCCACCCAAUUUGUACUGAAUGUAAGAGUAGCAUUUGAUUAUUUUCCCUUGCUGAUUUUGAUGGAGGGAACUCUGGAUUGUAGAGGGACUAUGCAAUGAUCAACCACGUACUGCUGUUCAUUAUCAGAUUUGCUGAUUAGCACUUUAGACGGUUUUAUUUUUUAUUUUUGGAGGUUAGUUCCUGAACAUUGUUGUCUAGGGUAGUUGCCCUAAAACCUCUAAAUAUUAUUCAAGAGCAGCUUAUUUGUCACUACUGUCACAGUUGCAUAUAAAUGCAGUCUUAAAAUGCCUGGGACGUUCUUCUGAGAGUCGGCAUUGAAACGAACUGGCAGAGAAAGGUAGAAAACUUUGUGUACAGCUGUGCAAGAUGUAGAUCCAGAAAUGGGUUAUGGAUUUCCUGGGACCACGGUGCUUCUCCAAAACACGAAGGAAAAGGAAUGUGAGGAAGAUUGGUGAAGGAAUUUUGGUUUCUGUGUUUUAAGAGAAGUUGACUGGAAAAUUGUAUUGCCCUGACCCGAAGCACAACAAUCUGCAGCCACUGGAUGAGAUCUGAAGGGCAAGCAAUACAAAGGAUAUUUUUACUUUAACAAGGUAAUCUUUGGAAGGAACGACUUGGCUGUGUGUCAGAAAUGCAGAAACACAAUGGAGCACGCUGAGUCACGGUAAUCCAGGGGGAUGUAGGUCCAACCAGAGAAAAUGCAAAUUAGAAAACAAGUUGUGUUUGGGUGUUUUUUUGAGUAAAAUCUUCAAUGCACACAUGAGGAGUAAUUUUUGAAGUGUUUCUGAGAAUUUCACAUAGCCUAAUUCACUUUGAUGUGAACAAACCAUACUGUAAUAAUUAACUCUGUCACUAACGGGCACCUUACUGUUUGUGACCAGGGUGAGCAGUGGCAGUCAGGCUCCUCGCAGGCAGUACCGCAUCCGAAACCACCGCAGCCCCAGCACAGGCUCACGACGGCUGCCUGCGGAGCCUGGCAGGGGCAAUCUGGGCAACAGCUCGCUGCUUUUCCACGUCACUGCUUUCACACUGCUGAGCUACUCACUCAGUAAACAAGGAGCCUCUCCUAUCUGCAGCUUCUGCGGGAGGAACCACUUAUGCACUGAAGAUUCCAGAUGUGAAUCAGGCGUCGUGUGUGACAGCAUUUCAGGAUGCCAGGAUUUACUGCCCACUGUUUCACCUAGCAGUUUGUUGUAGCUGUUGGGACUACUGCGAUGACAGAUACCUCUCCAAGGACACCUUAUUAAAGGGAGCAGGACGUACAUGGCAAUGUAUGAAGAGAUGCUGCACUACCUGCCUGUACCUGUUGAGGAGUCCAGCCUGCUGGUUACCAAGAGACAGCAAGAGCAGCCUUUUGGAAGAAGGACGGCGUGGCAUUUCAAAUGACCACCACAUUGGAUCUGGCAAUCCAGCAGUCAAAACCAUGGAAAUUCUAAGUGUGUGUUCCUAACAUCUUGCUGUCAAAUGUAUAUAGAGAGAAGCUUUUCUUUGCAUCUGUUCCCUCUGGUUGGAAGGACGCUGGACACAAAAGCACAAAGGGAAACUAAUGGUUAAGAAUGCAGAACCCUUUGCCAACCAGAGAAACUCCAGCAGAGAACACCUCUUGAGCUAUGGUAAAACUAUUGUAUGUACCUAGGGUGGAGCUCUAUUAUCUUCUGCGUAGUGUAAAGCAUAGAAAAGACAAACAGCAAUUCUUGUGACAUUAUUUUUAAUCAGGUGUCUGCCACAAUCCUGGAUCUGAGUAAGGCAGCACAGUUGAGAGAAUUUUCAAUGCAUAAAGCUAAAAGGUUGUGAGCAUGGCACCAAGUGCUCAGUCCCAUUUAGAAACAUGAAUGUUUGCUAGUCCUGUUUUCUCUUACAGUAAAAUCUCAGCAGGUCUCAGGUUUCAUACCAUCAGGAAGAUUUGAAAGCACACCUUCCUGCAUGGAAGGGCACAGAACAGAAAUAAUUCCCCUGGGAUGUGGAUCAGCACUGAAGCAGUAUUCUAUUUUCAGAGCUCUACUGGAAUGUUUCCAAGACCACCAUGACACAACUACUUCAGUAUGGGUGGUAAACAUGUCUCUACUGCAAACGUUUCUGCACUGUUUGCUGUGCAUUCUUUAACAACUGUUGCUUUAGUGGAUGGAUUCUCUCUGCUGCCACCUCAUCCCUGGACCCCUCUCUGAAUAUACACAUGGAAAAAAGCAAACAAUGUGCUUUGCUGAACAGAUACCAUUUACUAGGUGGAGCCUGCAGAUAGUCAAGAACUGCAAGUAAUCCAUGACUGAGAGCGUGUUUUAUUGGGAGUGCCUGUACCUGCUGAGAAACCACCAGCUUUUAAGGGAGUAGUGAGCCGAUCUUGGAAACUUCAGUUUUUCAACUUAAAAUCCAUGAAGUCACGGGAAAGUUGCCUGUUUGUAAGUACACAGUACUAGUACUUCAACUCCAUGUUAAGAAGUGUGUAACACCUCUGUCCUAACUGUAAGGGAAUUAGAUCGUACUCCUGGAGUUUUCUUCCAAACACGGCCUUUUCUUUGUAGGCUAUCACAACACACUAAUGUUGCUAAAAUGGAAUCCUGAAAUGCAGCGUCUCCCCAUACGGAAUUCCAGCUAGCAGUACUAUGCUUGAGUUCAGUACCAACUAUGCUGAUACACCAAUUUCAUUAAACCUCAAUAUGCUUAGAGGUCACUUCUCUUCACAUGCCAAAGCUGCAGAGGUUAGGAUGGAGCCAAAAUGGUCCUGGUGUUAUAAUAAAGCCCUAAGAAAGGCAGCAGGUUGUAUAGUUACCUCCUUGUGAGCAAAAUCCCUGCCCUAAAACUAUGCAACCUACUACCUCUUCCUAGGAGCCCAAUGCUUCCUUUUUGCAGUUCUUCAUACUUCGCAGCUCUUUGCGAAGUCACCUUAGCUCACCGGCUGCUUUUGGCCUCCUGCAUUUUUAGGCCAGGGCGUGUCCUGUAAGCUCGCACUGUUCAGUGAGUGGUUAACCAGUUCACCGCUCCUGGCUUAAAUACUCCUGAAUGGCUCCAUUUUCUCUCUUACUAUGCUAGAUUUUCAGUCCCAAAAAGCAUUUUUGUGCUUUUUCUCUUGUUGCUAGAGCAAGAUGCUAGCUGCUCACUCUACUGCAGAAGCAGCUAGACUUGAGUACACCUAAGACUUAAGAGGGAAAAAAGAACAAAGUAAGCUUUAAAUCUCUUUUGUAAAAACAUAACCACUUCAGAGAAAAAUUACAAUUCUGGAUCUUGGGCGCCCAAACGUCAUAGCUUUACACUCCCAAACAGUUCAGGGGUGAGUUUUGGCCGUUCAACACUUUAAUCUUUGUAUUACAUUGUUUAAGUCUCACUUGCUAGAAGAGCUAGAGAAAAAUAAACAGACAUAUUAAUAAAGUAUAACUGUAAGUUUUCCUUCCAACAUCUACUAAACAACUGAAGUAGUGGAACUUUAAUGCAUUACAGGAAUUGGGGUCUCAAAACAGUUUAAGUCACAGUGUACGUGCCUGAAUCACCAGAAUUUUUAAACACACCAAACUGUUUCAGAGUAAUUUCUGGUCUAUGGGGUAUUCCACUCCAUAGCUAGUAACAGACAUUUUCGAUAUCCAGUCAGCACUGUGCCACUCACCUUGGAAGAAAUGUCACAGCAGUCGAAUACCAUUUAGGGUUUGCACCAUCCACACUGAUUGUUAAUCAGUGACAUAAUUUACAGGAUUAAUUUCAUACUUUACAACCCUAAACUUAUCUGACAAAAAUAUUUUUACUCACUCGAUGUGGAAAUGAAUGACUGCAAAGGACCGCAGUUUGUUUUACUCCUCAGGGAAGGCAAUAGAUUGUAUAGUUAUCUCCUGAACAGGGUAAAAUAACUACCCUACAACUAUACAAUCUACUACCUCACUCCGACAGAGAACCGUGUACUUAAGAUCUUUGCUGAAGUAGCUAACCAUAGCUCAUUCUGAAGAGUGUUAAUAUGUGAUGCUUCGUGUAGCAAUGUGAAAGAACACAACUUAUCAGAACAUCAAUCAUUUGUAGUUGAUUGCCCAACCUUAAAGGAAUCAAUCUAUUUUUAUUAUUAUUCUUUAGAGAAGAAAAAUGAAUAUAGAAUGACAACCUUGAUUUUUCUAAGAACUACAGAAAUCUAAAUGCAAUUACCUGUAGGUGCUGCAGAAACAUUUCUCUCCUAUAAAGAACAUUCCAAGUAUAGAAGUUCAGUAGAAUCUGACAUUGAACUUUAAAAGUGAAGUGUUUCCACUGUUGACUUUCUGCCACUUUAGGAAAGACAGUAGAUUGUAUAGUUAUCUCCCAGUUGUGGGUAUGACCCUAAAACUAUACAACCUACUACCUCAUCCCACAGUGCAGGCAUCUUCGGAGGUGACGUCGAAAGAUCGGCUUUAAAAGAGACAAGUUAAGCCAGCUGCAGACAGCACUUACAAUGGACAAUACCGGUUACAGAAAAAACAUUCCUCUUUCUCCCCAGUCAUGCAACAAAGUUAUUUUAAAUCUAAAUUCCUUAGUUCCAAAAUUUUACCAUUUGGUCUUAAUAUAUUUAAACUCUAGACACUUAGCAAGCUGUAGUAGGUACAGCAACUACAGUCAUCAAACCUUUCUGUUACAGGAAAAGUACCAUUAGCAUUCCACAGAUGUAACCUCUCAGCUGAAAUUAGAAAACAAUGCCUAUCAGAAACAUCACACACAGACCUAAAUUUCUUCUUCUUUAGAACUUUAAAGUAAUAAAAUCUAGGGCCAUUAAUAGCUCAAAGAAAAUCACGUACUUUCUAAAACAGUAUUUUAUGGCUUUUCUGGUAGUCUGAAAUGGCAAACAGUUCUGUGCACACGGAUUCUUUUAUUAUAAACAAAACUUAUUUAGGCCCAUACUCUGACACUUAAUUGUUAAACUGCCUUACCAAAAGGCCACUUAAAAUAUACUUUUUUUUUGCAUCAGAAACAAAUGCAUUUUCUCAUUGCCCCCAACAGAACCUUAAAGCCAGUAUCUCCAUUACCAUAGCUCAACAUGACCUUGAAGUAAAAAUCUUAAAAUAUUGAAAUAAAAAUACUUGCCAGACUGAUGUGUGACUUACAAUCCCCUUCUUAGCAAGGACAUCUUGAGAACAGAGCUGAAGAGGAAAACUGAUCAUUUUGUCAGUGUAACUUAUAAGAUUGCUGAAAGUGUUUACAGAAAUGCAGGUUUUCAAACAUUAAAUACAUGUCGUACUAGUACUUCAUCCCAAUUCUAAGCUGAGGUUUUCAGACUAGUCAUCAAACAAAGCCUUGAUAGAACAAGAGCUCCUAAUGCAUGUUAAUGCCCUUGCCAAAAAACACAACGCGUGAUCCAAUGCAUUAAUAUACAAAGGGAUGACGUUAUUCCUUGAACGGAGAAAAAAAAUGAAAGUACUUUCCAACCCCCCUCAGUGCUUUACUCCAGAAAUCUUUAUACAAAUACUGAUGACAAAAUUUGGUGAAUCACUCUUAAUAUCUUGCUUGUAACUGGUUAGAAAUCCCAUUAUUUGCUUUUGUUAACUUACAUGCCUACUGGAACGUAUACUUUACCAUGCACAGAUGGACACAAGCAGUUGGUCCCCAUGUCCAAAACAAAUAAAUUAGAACAGUAGCAGUGGGACAAAGUCAAAUGGCUAUGAAGCGCUGGCACAUAUCACAUCCUUUUUGUGAGCUCAGGCAGAGGUCCUGCUGUCAAGCAAAUAUUCAAUGGAGCUGCUGGCAGUCCUUUCAUAGUUCCUUGUUCCUACACCUAAACCUUCAACUGACAAGCAAAAUUCAUGUAAAGAACCAGUUCCUAA